UAGUGGCGAACGGGUGAGUAACACGUGGGCAAUCUGCCCUGCACUCUGGGACAAGCCCUGGAAACGGGGUCUAAUACCGGAUACGACUACUGGGGGCAUCYCYKSKGGUGGAAAGCUCCGGCGGUGCAGGAUGAGCCCGCGGCCUAUCAGCUUGUUGGUGGGGUGAUGGCCUACCAAGGCGACGACGGGUAGCCGGCCUGAGAGGGCGACCGGCCACACUGGGACUGAGACACGGCCCAGACUCCUACGGGAGGCAGCAGUGGGGAAUAUUGCACAAUGGGCGAAAGCCUGAUGCAGCGACGCCGCGUGAGGGAUGACGGCCUUCGGGUUGUAAACCUCUUUCAGCAGGGAAGAAGCGCAAGUGACGGUACCUGCAGAAGAAGCGCCGGCUAACUACGUGCCAGCAGCCGCGGUAAUACGUAGGGCGCAAGCGUUGUCCGGAAUUAUUGGGCGUAAAGAGCUCGUAGGCGGCUUGUCGCGUCGGAUGUGAAAGCCCGGGGCUUAACCCCGGGUCUGCAUUCGAUACGGGCAGGCUAGAGUUCGGUAGGGGAGAUCGGAAUUCCU
RNAcentral lists this ribosomal RNA (564 nucleotides) under Streptomyces orinoci. Its description in RNAcentral is "bacterial SSU rRNA". It matches the Rfam family "Bacterial small subunit ribosomal RNA", at positions 93 to 671 of the family's 1533-position model. The record is from RNAcentral. Lineage: Bacteria; Bacillati; Actinomycetota; Actinomycetes; Kitasatosporales; Streptomycetaceae.